GGUCCAGUGGUCAAAAGGCAUGUCUUCCCUAGUGAAGACGCAGGUUUGAUUCUUGCUUGGACCA
This 64-nucleotide transfer RNA is filed under the name Helianthus annuus (common sunflower). It matches the Rfam family "tRNA". From Rfam's summary of the family: Transfer RNA (tRNA) molecules are approximately 80 nucleotides in length. Their secondary structure includes four short double-helical elements and three loops (D, anti-codon, and T loops). Lineage: Eukaryota; Viridiplantae; Streptophyta; Magnoliopsida; Asterales; Asteraceae. The record is from RNAcentral.